GUAGAGCUAGGGAUGAGCAAAAGGACCGAACCGGCCGGAACCGGCCCGAAUCGGACCGGACCGGGGAGCCGGCUUUGGCAAAAAUCAAGAACCGAACCGGCCCGGCGGUUCUACCGGUUCCCGGUUCCUACCGGUUCUUGUCGUGUCUUCAAAUGUUGGAACCACUCCUUGAAAAAUAGCAUCAUACGGUUCCGGUUUUUGCCGGUUCUACCGUUUUUUGCCAGCUCUACCGGUUUCGGUUAAAUCGGUUCCGGUUCCUACCGGUUCCCGGUUCCAAAACUCCACAAAAAUAAUGUCCCGGUCCCGGCCCGACCGGUUCCAUCGGGUUCCGGUUCCGGUGCCGGUUCCGGUUCCGGUACCGGUUCCGGCCGGUUCCCCGGUCCAUAUGCUCAUCCCCAGGUAGAGCAUAUUAAGGACAAAAAAUGCUUCUUGCCCCCUUAUUUUUAGAAGAAUAGUAUUUUUAGUUUCGGCCUCUUUCAAAUUAAUUGCUCAAUUCUGUACCUAAUUACAACAAUAACCUUAAAGAUAAGGCAAAUUCGUCGAACAUUCCAUGGUCAAGACACGGGUUGCAUGUUUUUUUGGGAGAUACUGGUGAUCAAGGUUCUAAAAAGCUCGUCAUGGCUCCAAGGCUUGUAUCUGCCGCCAAGCUUUACCAAAACACCGUCUUAACUCAUAUAUGUGUAUAAAAUAAAAUAAUAGUUGAAAAUACAUAUAAAAAUAUUAAUUAUUUAAAAAAUUAUCGCCUUAAGUUACGCCUUACAAAUGACGUGGCUCGCCAAGGCUCGAAAAAGCUUGAGGCUUGACAUUGCCGCCAAGUCACGCCUUACGUUAUUUAGAACCAUACUGAUGAUAACGUCAAGUUGCCAUACCUUCAAUGCAAGCAAAUAAAAUCGGCUGUUAAAUAAUUAGCGUAGCGGCUUCUAAAACCAUUGAGGAAGCAUGAAAUGUUGUCGCUUUGUAUCUUUCCAUGCCAUUUAAUUUUCAAAGAAAAAAAUUGUGCACGCAUGCAACACGUGACUUUUCAUUUUAUUUUAUUUAUUUUGUGCUUUUUUCUACAUAAAUUUUGUAUACAUAAAUGUUAUUUCUAAAAAUAUUUAUUUUAAAAAAUAUAUAUUAUGUUUUAUUUUAUUUUAUUUUAUAUUCUUUAAUUUAAUGAAAUAAAAAUCAAUGAUAAUCCGUUGUAAAAGAUAGAAUUUCAAUGUAACCUAGGUUAGAAAUAAAUUGAUGCACAACUGAUAUGCCAUUGAAUUUAAACAAGAAUAACAAAACUUCAUAUCUCAUUAUGUAAUACAAAAAAUUAUAAAGGCACUGCAAAAUUAUAAAUUUCCAUUUCAUGCAAAAAUAAGAAUAGACCGUAUAACCUUUAUUCUUUUCUUUUUUGUUAAGAGAAUACGGCAUCACCUAUUAACGGCAUGGAGCUGCUUAUGUGACACCUCCGUAAGUCACUCAUAUCACAAAACCAUUUCCUUCUUUUCUCUUUCUCUCUUUCCCUUUCUAUAAGAUCAGGAAAACCAUUUCCCCCUUUCUCUUUCUCUUUCUCUUUGCCUAACAAGUUAACAUGUCAUAUCAUGAGAAAGACCAUUUCUCCUUCGAGUUAGGUUGGAGGGAGUAGCUUGGCACCCUCGCUAAACAGUUGCUAAAACAUGGUCUUGUUGGUUGCUUAGCGAGAGAAAAGAGAAGAAAUAAGGAUUGUUUGAUAGUUUUUGAUUGAAAACAUUAACUAGAAAAUGUUUGUCUAAGUAAUAAAGUCUGACUGAAAAAAAAAAAAAA
Molecule: long non-coding RNA, 1770 nt
Filed under: Lactuca sativa (garden lettuce)
Lineage: Eukaryota; Viridiplantae; Streptophyta; Magnoliopsida; Asterales; Asteraceae
Description: long non-coding RNA (LSAT_LNC005685)
Source: RNAcentral